RNAcentral lists this ribosomal RNA (546 nucleotides) under uncultured bacterium. RNAcentral's name for it is "bacterial SSU rRNA". It matches the Rfam family "Bacterial small subunit ribosomal RNA", at positions 777 to 1321 of the family's 1533-position model. The record is from RNAcentral.
AAUAGAUACCCGGGUAGUCCACGCUGUAAACGUUGGGCGCUAGGUGUGGGGGGCCUCUCCGGUUCUCUGUGCCGCAGCUAACGCAUUAAGCGCCCCGCCUGGGGAGUACGGCCGCAAGGCUAAAACUCAAAGGAAUUGACGGGGGCCCGCACAAGCGGCGGAGCAUGCGGAUUAAUUCGAUGCAACGCGAAGAACCUUACCUGGGUUUGACAUCACCGCAAAACUUCCAGAGAUGGGAGGUCCUUCGGGGGCGGUGACAGGUGGUGCGAUGGCUGCCGUCAGCUCGUGUCGUGAGAUGUUGGGUUAAGUCCCGCAACGAGCGCAACCCUCGUUCGAUGUUGCCAGCGGGUUAUGCCGGGGACUCAUCGAAGACUGCCGGGGUCAACUCGGAGGAAGGUGGGGAUGACGUCAAGUCAUCAUGCCCCUUAUGUCCAGGGCUUCACGCAUGCUACAAUGGCCGGUACAAUGGGCUGCGAUACCGUGAGGUGGAGCGAAUCCCGAAAAAGCCGGUCUCAGUUCGGAUCGGGGUCUGCAACUCGACCCCGU